GAUGAACGCUGGCGGCGUGCCUAAUACAUGCAAGUCGAGCGAACGGACGAGAAGCUUGCUUCUCUGAUGUUAGCGGCGGACGGGUGAGUAACACGUGGAUAACCUACCUAUAAGACUGGGAUAACUUCGGGAAACCGGAGCUAAUACCGGAUAAUAUUUUGAACCGCAUGGUUCAAAAGUGAAAGACGGUCUUGCUGUCACUUAUAGAUGGAUCCGCGCUGCAUUAGCUAGUUGGUAAGGUAACGGCUUACCAAGGCAACGAUGCAUAGCCGACCUGAGAGGGUGGUGGGCCACACUGGAACUGAGAAACGGUCCAGACUCCGAGGGGAGGCAGCAGUAGGGAAUCUUCCGCGAAGGGCGAAAGCCUGACGGAGCAACGCCGCGUGAGUGAUGAAGGUCUUCGGAUCGUAAAACUCUGUUAUUAGGGAAGAACAUAUGUGUAAGUAACUGUGAACAUCUUGACGGUACCUAAUCAGAAAGCCACGGCUAACUACGUG
This 497-nucleotide ribosomal RNA is filed under the name uncultured bacterium. RNAcentral's name for it is "partial 16S ribosomal RNA". It matches the Rfam family "Bacterial small subunit ribosomal RNA", at positions 28 to 507 of the family's 1533-position model. The record is from RNAcentral.